This 121-nucleotide ribosomal RNA is filed under the name Pteropus alecto (black flying fox). The record is from RNAcentral. Lineage: Eukaryota; Metazoa; Chordata; Mammalia; Chiroptera; Pteropodidae.
GGCUACGGCCGCGCCACCCUGAACAAGCCUGAUCUCGUCUGAUCUCGUGAAGCUAAGCAGGGUCGGGCCUGAUCAGUAAUUGGCAUGGGAGACCACCUAGGAAGACCAGGUGCUGUAGGCG